Molecule: transfer RNA, 73 nt
Filed under: Stegodyphus mimosarum
Lineage: Eukaryota; Metazoa; Arthropoda; Arachnida; Araneae; Eresidae
Rfam family: tRNA
About the family: Transfer RNA (tRNA) molecules are approximately 80 nucleotides in length.
Source: Rfam by way of RNAcentral
GCUUUCGUGGUGUAGUGGUCACCACGCUCGACGCAUAACCGAGAGGUCCGUGGUUCGAUUCCCGGUGAAGGCG